UACGAAGGGGCUAGCGUUGUUCGGAAUUACUGGGCGUAAAAGCGCACGUAGGCGGACAUUUAAGUCAGUGGUGAAAGCCCCGGAGCUCAACUCCGGAACUGCCAUUGAAACUGUUUAGCUUGAGGACGAGAGAGGUGAGUGGAAUUCCCAGUGUAGAGGUGAAAUUCGUAGAUAUUGGGAAGAACACCGGUGGCGAAGGCGGCUCACUGGCUCGUAUCUGACGCUCAGGCGGCGACAGCGUGGGGAUCAAACAGG
This 255-nucleotide ribosomal RNA is filed under the name uncultured bacterium. Its description in RNAcentral is "partial 16S ribosomal RNA". It matches the Rfam family "Bacterial small subunit ribosomal RNA", at positions 524 to 776 of the family's 1533-position model. The record is from RNAcentral.